CCUACGGGAGGCAGCAGUAGGGAAUCUUCCGCAAUGGACGAAAGUCUGACGGAGCAACGCCGCGUGAGUGAUGAAGGUCUUCGGGUCGUAAAGCUCUGUUGUCAGGGAAGAACAAGUACCGGAGUAACUGCCUGUACCUUGACGGUACCUGACCAGAAAGCCACGGCUAACUACGUGCCAGCAGCCGCGGUAAU
RNAcentral lists this ribosomal RNA (194 nucleotides) under uncultured bacterium. RNAcentral describes it as "partial 16S ribosomal RNA". It matches the Rfam family "Bacterial small subunit ribosomal RNA", at positions 338 to 524 of the family's 1533-position model. The record is from RNAcentral.